Fukomys damarensis (Damara mole-rat) is the source of this 881-nucleotide long non-coding RNA. RefSeq lists it as uncharacterized. The record is from RefSeq and is a predicted model, not a curated record. Lineage: Eukaryota; Metazoa; Chordata; Mammalia; Rodentia; Bathyergidae. The transcript is spliced from 4 exons.
UUCAAAACUGUGAAUUAAGUUUGCAUUUAAAUUAUCUGGGAUUGCCAGAAGGAAUUAUAUUUUUAAAUUUCUAAUUAUUUUUACCUGUUGCAGAAUGUAGCAAAUAGAUUGUUUGCCUGCAUGUAUACUAAGCGUUGGUGUCUUUAUUGAACAUUUUAAGAAACAGAAAACAGAUUUAGCAAGGAAAUAUUGCAAACCACCCCGCAGCAGCCUUCAGUCUUUGUGUGGGUGCAGUCUCCGGCCUCACCGUCUUUGUACAAACUGUCACAGGCCAGGUGAUGAAGCCACGCACAAAGGAAGGCAGCUCUGAAUACAGUACUUAAGUAUUCAUCACAUACAAAGGAAAUAACUUGAUGCUGUAUCAAAAAUCGGAUAUCCCCAGUCUUGGGUAUGAAUCCUGUCUCUGCUUGCUGAUAAUCUGGAGGACUCGCACAACACUGUCUCUCACUGAGUCUCUGACAACAGGACACAGGGAAAGCAGCCACUGAAGCCAUGCGAUGUGGGUCUUCCCCGAGGAAGGAACCUUGAGCUGCCAGCUUUGCAGGAGCUUUGCUUAGCCUCCCCAGAGCACACGGGGUGCCACCCGCCUGACUGUCUGAAGGCAAAGCUUGACCUCGCCUGAUCCCUGGGUAUUCAGGGCCUCCGGCAGAGGAGACGCAAGAUUCUGGCCAGUGACCCGUCACGGUGAAAUCAAUAGGGAAAAGCUGACAGUGCAUGGCCUCGAGGUGUGAGCAGGGCUGCCACGUGCCUGUGCCUGCAGUGUCCACCGUCUGCAUGGAGACCUUGACUGCGUCGCCCCCUCAGGCCGGGCAAUCGUCAUUUCCAGUGUGGCACCCACAAUGUGAUGAAUCGGCACCAGUACAAGGUAAACACAGGCCUAG